This 73-nucleotide transfer RNA is filed under the name Myxococcales bacterium. Its description in RNAcentral is "tRNA-Lys". It matches the Rfam family "tRNA". From Rfam's summary of the family: Transfer RNA (tRNA) molecules are approximately 80 nucleotides in length. Their secondary structure includes four short double-helical elements and three loops (D, anti-codon, and T loops). Further hydrogen bonds mediate the characteristic L-shaped molecular structure. tRNAs have two regions of fundamental functional importance: the anti-codon, which is responsible for specific mRNA codon recognition, and the 3' end, to which the tRNAs corresponding amino acid is attached (by aminoacyl-tRNA synthetases). tRNAs cope with the degeneracy of the genetic code in two manners: having more than one tRNA (with a specific anti-codon) for a particular amino acid; and 'wobble' base-pairing, i.e. permitting non-standard base-pairing at the 3rd anti-codon position. The record is from RNAcentral. Lineage: Bacteria; Pseudomonadati; Myxococcota; Myxococcia; Myxococcales.
GGGGGUGUAGCUCAAUUGGUAGAGCAAUGGACUCUUAAUCCAUAGGUUGCGGGUUCGAGACCCUCCACCCUCA